GUGCCAGCCGCCGCGGUAAAACGUAGGACGCAAGCGUUAUCCGGAGUUACUGGGCGUAAAGGGCGUGCAGGCGGUCGGGUAAGUUCGCCGUGAAAGACUCCGGCUCAACCGGGGGAUGUCGGGGGAGACUGCCGGACUGGAGGGCGGUAGAGGAGCAGGGAAUUCCGGGUGUAGUGGUGAAAUGCGUAGAGAUCCGGAGGAACACCAGUGGCGAAGGCGCUGCUCUGGGCCGCUGCUGACGCUGAGACGCGAAAGCAUGGGGAGCGAACGGGAUUAGAAACCCCCGUAGUCC
Molecule: ribosomal RNA, 292 nt
Filed under: uncultured bacterium
Lineage: Bacteria
Description: partial 16S ribosomal RNA
Rfam family: Bacterial small subunit ribosomal RNA
Source: RNAcentral